This 252-nucleotide ribosomal RNA is filed under the name uncultured bacterium. RNAcentral describes it as "partial 16S ribosomal RNA". It matches the Rfam family "Bacterial small subunit ribosomal RNA", at positions 525 to 776 of the family's 1533-position model. The record is from RNAcentral.
ACGUAGGAGCCAAGCGUUAUCCGAAUUUACUGGGCGUAAAGCGCGUGUAGGCGGUUUGGAAAGUUGGAUGUGAAAGCUCCUGGCUCAACUGGGAGAGGACGUUCAAAACUAGCAGACUAGAGGACGGUAGAGGGAGGUGGAAUUCCCGGUGUAGUGGUGAAAUGCGUAGAUAUCGGGAGGAACACCAGUGGCGAAGGCGGCCUCCUGGGCCGUUCCUGACGCUCAGACGCGAAAGCUAGGGUAGCAAACGGG